AAUGCAAAUACGUGGAAAUUAUUUUAGAGUUUUAAGUUCACAAUUACCUUUGGAGACUUCUGCUGUCUCAGUCCCCACUGCAACACCCAGAGAAAAUGUCUCUUCAUCAUUUUGACUCAGAAAUACAUCGCUGUAAUACAUAUAUAAAUAUAUAUCAAAUAUGUGUAACUAUAUAUAAUCAUAAGAUAUUUUGAAUGUAUAUAAAUAUAUUUU
Molecule: long non-coding RNA, 213 nt
Filed under: Pan troglodytes (chimpanzee)
Lineage: Eukaryota; Metazoa; Chordata; Mammalia; Primates; Hominidae
Description: long non-coding RNA NONPTRT012978
Source: RNAcentral